RNAcentral lists this ribosomal RNA (465 nucleotides) under uncultured bacterium. RNAcentral's name for it is "bacterial SSU rRNA". It matches the Rfam family "Bacterial small subunit ribosomal RNA", at positions 338 to 795 of the family's 1533-position model. The record is from RNAcentral.
CCUACGGGCUGCAGCAGUGGGGAAUAUUGCACAAUGGGCGCAAGCCUGAUGCAGCCAUGCCGCGUGUAUGAAGAAGGCCUUCGGGUUGUAAAGUACUUUCAGCGGGGAGGAAGGCAAUAAGGUUAAUAACCUUGUCGAUUGACGUUACCCGCAGAAGAAGCACCGGCUAACUCCGUGCCAGCAGCCGCGGUAAUACGGAGGGUGGAAGUGUUAAUCGGAAUUACUGGGCGUAAAGCGCACGCAGGCGGUCUGUCAAGUCGGAUGUGAAAUCCCCGGGCUCAACCUGGGAACUGCAUUCGAAACUGGCAGGCUAGAGUCUUGUAGAGGGGGGUAGAAUUCCAGGUGUAGCGGUGAAAUGCGUAGAGAUCUGGAGGAAUACCGGUGGCGAAGGCGGCCCCCUGGACAAAGGCUGACGCUCAGGUGCGAAAGCGUGGGGAGCAAACAGGAUUAGAUACCCUUGUAGUC